Trichogramma pretiosum is the source of this 1140-nucleotide long non-coding RNA. RefSeq lists it as uncharacterized. The transcript has 4 exons. Lineage: Eukaryota; Metazoa; Arthropoda; Insecta; Hymenoptera; Trichogrammatidae. The record is from RefSeq and is a predicted model, not a curated record.
GUACUCGAGAGAGAGCAGCUUCGAGCCGCGUCGAUUUGAAAGCAAUGAGCUGUCUGUAUGUCUGUGUGCGUGUGUAACUCUCUGCGUAUAUAAGCGUAUAGUCAUGACCCUGAGACAGAUUAACGCACACACACACACACACACACACACACACACACACACACACACACACAAGUGCACAAUCGAUGUAUUAUAUAGAGGUAUUUAAGGUAAUGUGUGUGUGUUGCAGUGUUACAAUACACGCAACUGUACGUGACGAUAUGACGUAAAAAGGGGGAGAUUCGCACUCGCGUAGAUCCAUUAAUUGCACCGCAAGUAUAUCAUUAUAAUACCGAUAUCGUGUGUGUGUGUACUAUAAGUACGGCACGUUUUGACAAGUCCUGCUGCUCGCGCUGGCGACGACACGCGUGCGCGACUUCGAGAAUUGUUGCUAUGUAUAUCGACGCAGUAAUAUUUAAUUGCACUGUCUAUAAUUUUUUAAACUUCUUGAGAGACUUAUUACGGCUCCUAUACCUGUAUUAAACCCGUUGUUGUCGAACGAUGAUUCGACAAAUUUACGGAGAACGAUUGCAAUGAAAUCGACGUGUUUUUUUUUUUUUUUCUUUCAUUGUACAACGAUGCAACUUCCUUUUUGGUCAAUCUCCGUCUUAUCGAUUACGCCCGCGAUUGUUGUUGUUGAUGUUUUUUUCUCUUUUUUUCGUAGCGAGCAGCCUUAAACGGAGCUUUCAAAAGCUGCGGCCGGAAAAUCGAUAAAGUACAUUUCCGUGCUAAAUAGAUCUUGGGCAAUAUAUUGGGCCCUGUACUUUUGUCGAUUCAUCGCCGCAAGGAUCCUUUUCUUCAAGUUGUGGAGCAAGUAAAAAUACAAAUGAGUAAAGUCUUUUGAGUCAAUUUGAAAAUAAAUUAUUUAUGCUGUUUCACUGGUACGAUGAAACAAGCCUUCACAUAGACUGUUAUUGAUACUUGUAAAAGGAUAGACCCCAACUGAGGAAGUGCUUGUUAAACUAUUUAAAUUAGACCCGAGCUAAAAAAAAAAUAAAAAAAUAUACCAGUCGUGGCUGUUUCUGUAUUUUUUUGUGGAACUAUUGUUUGGUUAAUAUCAUUUUCGCAGUUCGAAUAAGCCAUCCCUAAUCCAAAUCCGGC